AUUGAACGCUGGCGGCAUGCUCUACACAUGCAAGUCGAACGGUAACAGGCCUUCGGGUGCUGACGAGUGGCGAACGGGUGAGUAAUGCAUCGGAACGUGCCCAGAGGUGGGGGAUAACGCAGCGAAAGCUGUGCUAAUACCGCAUGUGAUCUGAGGAUGAAAGCGGGGGACCAGGCAGCAAUGUUUGGCCUCGCGCCUUUGGAGCGGCCGAUGUCAGAUUAGGUAGUUGGUGGGGUAAAGGCCUACCAAGCCGACGAUCUGUAGCUGGUCUGAGAGGACGACCAGCCACACUGGGACUGAGACACGGCCCAGACUCCUACGGGAGGCAGCAGUGGGGAAUUUUGGACAAUGGGCGCAAGCCUGAUCCAGCAAUGCCGCGCGCGGGAAGAAGGCCUUCGGGUUGUAAACCGCUUUUGUACGGAACGAAAAGGCUCUGGCUAAUACCUGGGGCUGAUGACGGUACCGUAAGAAUAAGCACCGGCUAACUACGUG
RNAcentral lists this ribosomal RNA (492 nucleotides) under uncultured bacterium. RNAcentral's name for it is "partial 16S ribosomal RNA". It matches the Rfam family "Bacterial small subunit ribosomal RNA", at positions 29 to 507 of the family's 1533-position model. The record is from RNAcentral.